GAUGAACGCUGGCGGCGUGCCUAACACAUGCAAGUCGAGCGAACGGACGAGAAGUUUGCCUCUCUGACGUUAGCGGCGGACGGGUGAGUAACACGUGGAUAACUUACCUAUAAGACUGGGAUAACUACGGGAAACCGUAGCUAACACCGGAUAAUAUUUUGAACCGCAGGGUUCAAAGGAGAAAGACGGUCUUGCUGUCACUUAUAGAUGGAUCCGCGCUGCAUUAGCUAGUUGGUAAGGUAACGGCUUACCAAGGCUACGAUGCAUAGCCGACCUGAGAGGGUGAUCGGCCACACUGGAACUGAGACACGGUCCAGACUCCUACGGGAGGCAGCAGUAGGGAAUCUUCCGCAAUGGGCGAAAGCCUGACGGAGCAACGCCGCGUGAGUGAUGAAGGUCUUCGGAUCGUAAAGCUCUGUUAUUAGGGAAGAACAUAUGUGUAAGUAACUGUGCACAUCUUGACGGUACCUAAUCAAAAAGCCACGGCUAACUACGUG
Molecule: ribosomal RNA, 497 nt
Filed under: uncultured bacterium
Lineage: Bacteria
Description: partial 16S ribosomal RNA
Rfam family: Bacterial small subunit ribosomal RNA
Source: RNAcentral